Molecule: ribosomal RNA, 569 nt
Filed under: uncultured Pseudomonadota bacterium
Lineage: Bacteria; Pseudomonadati; Pseudomonadota
Description: bacterial SSU rRNA
Rfam family: Bacterial small subunit ribosomal RNA
Source: RNAcentral
GGCGCACGGGUGAGUAACACGUGGGUAAUCUGCCCUUUCGUCUGGAACAACUGCGGGAAACUGCAGCUAAUUCCGGAUAAGACUACGACGACUCCGGUCGACGUGGAAAAAGGUGGCCUCUCCUUGGAGGCUAUCGCGAAGGGAUGAGCCCGCGUUCCAUUAGCUAGUUGGUGGGGUAAAAGCCUACCAAGGCUCCGAUGGAUAGCUGGUCUGAGAGGAUGAUCAGCCACACUGGGACUGAGACACGGCCCAGACUCCUACGGGAGGCAGCAGUCGGGAAUUUUGUCCAAUGGGGGAAACCCUGAGACAGCAACGCCGCGUGAGGGAUGAAGGCCUUCGGGUCGUAAACCUCUGUCAGGAGGGAAGAAAGCUUCAUUGCAAAUAGUUAUGAAGUCUGACGGUACCUCCAAAGGAAGCACCGGCUAACUCCGUGCCAGCAGCCGCGGUAAUACGGAGGGUGCGAGCGUUGUUCGGAAUCAUUGGGCGUAAAGCGGAUGUAGGCGGUGAAGUCAGUCAGAUGUGAAAGCCCAGGGCCCAACCCUGGAACUGCAUUUGAUACUGCUUCACUA